GAGGGUAUAACUCAGUGGUAGAGCGCAAGCUUAGCAUGCACAAGGUCCUGGGUUCAAUCCCUAGUACUUCCA
This 72-nucleotide transfer RNA is filed under the name Camelus bactrianus (Bactrian camel). It matches the Rfam family "tRNA". From Rfam's summary of the family: Transfer RNA (tRNA) molecules are approximately 80 nucleotides in length. Their secondary structure includes four short double-helical elements and three loops (D, anti-codon, and T loops). RNAcentral also lists the same sequence under 1 other name. The record is from Rfam by way of RNAcentral. Lineage: Eukaryota; Metazoa; Chordata; Mammalia; Artiodactyla; Camelidae.